Molecule: RNA transcript, 4077 nt
Organism: Rhinopithecus roxellana (golden snub-nosed monkey)
Lineage: Eukaryota; Metazoa; Chordata; Mammalia; Primates; Cercopithecidae
Gene: NPR1
Gene name: natriuretic peptide receptor 1
Exons: 22
Source: RefSeq, a predicted model, not a curated record
CCCCCUCCGUUGCGCCCCUUGCGCUCUCGGCCCAGACCGUCGCAGCUACAGGGGGCCUCGAGCCCCGGGGUGAGUGCCCCCGUUCCGCUCCUGCUCCUUCCCAUAGGGACGCGCCUGAUGCCUGGGACCGGCCGCUGAGCCGGAGGGGACCGAGAAGGCCAUGGUGGGAGCGCUUGCCCGCUGCGGUGCCCGCUGAAACCAUGCCGGGGCCCCGGCGCCCCGCCGGCUCCCGCCUGCGCCUGCUCCUGCUCCUGCUGCUGCCGCCGCUGCUGCUGCUGCUCCGGGGCAGCCACGCGGGCAACCUGACGGUAGCCGUGGUACUGCCGCUGGCCAAUACCUCGUACCCAUGGUCUUGGGCGCGCGUGGGACCCGCCGUGGAGCUGGCCCUGGCCCGGGUGAAGGCGCGCCCCGACUUGCUGCCGGGCUGGACGGUCCGCACAGUGCUGGGCAGCAGCGAGAACGCGCUGGGCGUCUGCUCUGACACCGCAGCGCCCCUGGCCGCGGUGGACCUCAAGUGGGAGCACAACCCCGCGGCGUUCCUGGGCCCCGGCUGCGUGUACGCCGCCGCCCCGGUGGGGCGCUUCACCGCGCACUGGCGGGUCCCGCUGCUGACCGCCGGCGCCCCGGCGCUGGGCUUCGGUGUCAAGGACGAGUUUGCGCUGACCACCCGCGCGGGGCCCAGCUACGCCAAGCUGGGGGACUUCGUGGCGGCGCUGCACCGACGGCUGGGCUGGGAGCGCCAAGCGCUCAUGCUCUACGCUUACCGGCCGGGUGACGAAGAACACUGCUUCUUCCUUGUGGAGGGGUUGUUCAUGCGGGUCCGCGACCGCCUCAAUAUUACGGUGGACCACCUGGAGUUCGCCGAGGACGACCUCAGCCACUACACCAGGCUGCUGCGGACCAUGCCGCGCAAAGGCCGAGUUAUCUACAUCUGCAGCUCCCCUGACGCCUUCAGAACCCUGAUGCUCCUGGCCUUGGAAGCUGGCUUGUGUGGGGAGGACUACGUUUUCUUCCACCUGGAUAUCUUUGGACAAAGCCUGCAAGGUGGACAGGGCCCUGCUCCCCGCAGGCCCUGGGAGAGAGGGGAUGGACAGGAUGUCAGUGCCCGCCAGGCCUUUCAAGCUGCCAAAAUCAUUACAUAUAAAGAGCCAGAUAAUCCCGAGUACUUGGAAUUCCUGAAGCAGCUAAAACACCUGGCUCGUGAGCAGUUCAACUUCACCAUGGAGGAUGGCCUGGUGAACACCAUCCCAGCAUCCUUCCACGAUGGGCUCCUGCUCUAUAUCCAGGCAGUGACGGAGACUCUGGCACAUGGGGGAACUGUUACUGAUGGGGAGAACAUCACUCAGCGGAUGUGGAACCGAAGCUUUCAAGGUGUGACAGGAUACCUGAAAAUUGAUAGCAGUGGCGAUCGGGAAACAGACUUCUCCCUCUGGGAUAUGGAUCCCGAGACUGGUGCCUUCAGGGUUGUACUGAACUACAAUGGGACUUCCCAAGAGCUGGUGGCUGUGUCGGGGCGCAAACUGAACUGGCCCCUGGGGUACCCUCCUCCUGACAUCCCCAAAUGUGGCUUUGACAACGAAGACCCAGCAUGCAACCAAGAUCACCUUUCUACCCUGGAGGUGCUGGCUUUGGUGGGCAGCCUCUCCCUGCUCAGCAUUCUGAUUGUCUCCUUCUUCAUAUACAGGAAGAUGCAGCUGGAGAAGGAACUGGCCUCGGAGCUGUGGCGGGUGCGCUGGGAGGACGUUGAGCCCAGUAGCCUUGAGAGGCACCUGCGGAGUGCGGGCAGCCGGCUGACCCUGAGCGGGAGAGGCUCCAAUUACGGUUCCCUGCUAACCACAGAGGGCCAGUUCCAAGUCUUUGCCAAGACAGCAUAUUAUAAGGGCAACCUCGUGGCUGUGAAACGUGUGAACCGUAAACGCAUUGAGCUGACACGAAAAGUCCUGUUUGAACUGAAGCAUAUGCGGGAUGUGCAGAAUGAACACCUGACCAGGUUUGUGGGAGCCUGCACCGACCCCCCCAAUAUCUGCAUCCUCACAGAGUACUGUCCCCGUGGGAGCCUGCAGGACAUUCUGGAGAAUGAGAGCAUCACCCUGGACUGGAUGUUCCGGUACUCGCUCACCAAUGACAUUGUCAAGGGCAUGCUGUUUCUACACAAUGGGGCUAUCUGCUCCCAUGGGAACCUCAAGUCAUCCAACUGCGUGGUAGAUGGGCGCUUUGUGCUCAAGAUCACCGACUAUGGGCUGGAGAGCUUCAGAGACCUGGACCCAGAGCAAGGACACACCCUUUAUGCCAAAAAGCUGUGGACGGCCCCUGAGCUCCUGCGAAUGGCUUCGCCCCCUGUGAGGGGCUCCCAGGCUGGUGACAUAUACAGCUUUGGGAUCAUCCUUCAGGAGAUUGCCCUGAGGAGUGGGGUCUUCCAUGUGGAAGGUUUGGACCUCAGCCCCAAAGAGAUCAUCGAGCGGGUGACUCGGGGUGAGCAGCCCCCCUUCCGGCCCUCCCUGGCCCUGCAGAGUCACCUGGAGGAGUUGGGACUGCUGAUGCAGCGGUGCUGGGCUGAGGACCCACAGGAGAGGCCACCAUUCCAGCAGAUCCGCCUGACGUUGCGCAAGUUUAACAGGGAGCACAGCAGCAACAUCCUGGACAACUUGCUGUCCCGCAUGGAGCAGUAUGCAAACAAUCUGGAGGAACUGGUGGAGGAGCGGACCCAGGCGUACCUGGAGGAGAAGCGCAAGGCUGAGGCCCUGCUCUACCAGAUCCUGCCUCACUCAGUGGCUGAGCAGCUGAAGCGUGGGGAGACAGUGCAGGCCGAAGCCUUUGACAGCGUUACCAUCUACUUCAGUGACAUUGUGGGUUUCACAGCGCUGUCAGCGGAGAGCACGCCCAUGCAGGUGGUGACCCUGCUCAAUGACCUGUACACUUGCUUUGAUGCUGUCAUAGAUAACUUUGAUGUAUACAAGGUGGAGACAAUUGGUGAUGCCUACAUGGUGGUGUCGGGGCUCCCUGUGCGGAACGGGCGGCUGCACGCCUGCGAGGUAGCCCGCAUGGCCCUGGCUCUGUUGGAUGCUGUGCGCUCCUUCCGAAUACGCCACCGGCCCCAGGAGCAGCUGCGCUUGCGCAUUGGCAUCCACACAGCUGGGACCUCAGAUCCUGCCUCCUGCCUCUCCUGGAUUGUCUACCUACCUCCCUUAACACCCCUCCCUCCCUCACUUGCUGGUGGGCUCUGCUCCUUCCCUUGCUCCUCCCAGGACCCGUGUGUGCUGGAGUGGUGGGACUGAAGAUGCCCCGUUACUGUCUCUUUGGAGAUACAGUCAACACAGCCUCAAGAAUGGAGUCUAAUGGGGAAGCCCUGAAGAUCCACUUGUCUUCUGAGACCAAGGCUGUCCUGGAGGAGUUUGGUGGUUUCGAGCUGGAGCUUCGAGGGGAUGUAGAAAUGAAGGGCAAAGGCAAGGUUCGGACCUACUGGCUCCUGGGGGAGCGGGGGAGUAGCACCCGAGGCUGACCUGCCUCCUCUCCUAUCCCUCCACACCUCCCUACCCUGUGCCAGAAGCGACAGAGGUGCCAGGUCUCAGCCUCGCCCACAGCAGCCCCAUCACCAAAGGAUGGAAGUAGUUUGAAUAGCUCAGGUGUGCUGACCCCAGUGAAGACACCAGACAGGACCUCUGAGAGGGGACUGGCAUGGGGGGAUCUCAGAGCUUACAGGCUGAGCCAAGCCCACGGCCAUGCACAGGAACACACACACAGGCAUAUGCACCUGCUCUCCACCUGGACUCAGGCCGGGCUGGGCUGUGGAUUCCUGAUCCCCUCCCUUCCCCAUGCUCUCCUCCCUCAGCCUUGCUACCCUGUGACUUAUUGGGAGGAGAAAUAGUCACCUGAAGGGGAACAUGAAAAGAGACUAGGUGAAGUGAGGGCAGGGGAGCCCACAUCUGGGCCUGGCCCACAAUACCUGAUUCCCCGACCCACUCCACGCAGCAGUAGACACAGUGCACAGGGGAGAAGAGGGGUGGCGCAGAAGGGUUGGGGGCCUGUAUGCCUUGCUUCUACUGUGAGCAGAGACAAUUAAAAUCUUUAUUCCGGUGA